GAUAAACGCUGGCGGCGUGCCUAAUGCAUGCAAGUCGAACGGGGUUCACUUCGGUGGACUUACGUGGCGGACGGGUGAGGAACACGUGGGCAACCUGCCCAACGGUGGGGGAUAACCUUUGGAAACAGAGGGUAAUACCGCAUGAGCUUCUUGAUCGAGUGGGAUUGAGAAGGAAAGCCUAUAUGGCGCCGAUGGAGGGGCCUGCGUCCGAUUAGCUAGACGGUGGGGUAACGGCCUACCGUGGCAGUGAUCGGUAGCUGGUUUGAGAGGAUGAUCAGCCACACGGGGACUGAGACACGGCCCCGACUCCUACGGGAGGCAGCAGCAAGGAAUUUUCCGCAAUGGGCGAAAGCCUGACGGAGCAACGCCGCGUGUGGGAUGACGCUUUUCGGAGUGUAAACCACUGUUCAUGGGGACGAAGCACUGACGGUACCCAUGGAGGAAGGCCCGGCUAACUACGUGCCAGCAGCCGC
This 473-nucleotide ribosomal RNA is filed under the name uncultured bacterium. Its description in RNAcentral is "bacterial SSU rRNA". It matches the Rfam family "Bacterial small subunit ribosomal RNA", at positions 28 to 518 of the family's 1533-position model. The record is from RNAcentral.